UAUUUUAUAACAUAACCAGACCCUUUUAUACAGACUUAAGUGAACACAAGUAUUACUAAUGGAAGUACAUCUACAAGGGAACAGAAAGACAAGAACGAAAAAUGAAAUGGAGCACUAAACCGCAGUUUACGUGGACAUAGAGUAAUUAUAUAUAAUUGUAUGACAUAAACAAGACAGUGCUCGUUUUGAAUUCACCGUCUUAUAAAACACUUUAGGAUAAACUAUACACGUAUUUUGUAAAUAAAGAACCGGUAUGAGAAACAUAUACUCACCGACAUCUAAACGUCAAGAGUGACGAAAGUUCAAAGUUGAUAGAACGUACGGAAAAAAGACACUCUUUAUUAAUCGGAGAGAGAACGUCAAGAUAUUGAACAGUUGAACCGAAACCAUUAAGGACCCUGACUGCCUUGGUGACUUUUACCACCAAGACCGUCGAAGAUAUUAUAGUUUCAGACCUUUCCGUGAACGAAGCUCCGUUAUACAACUGUACAGAGCCUAUUCCUAGCUCCCUGACGAACGUCGUAAAGGUUUCAACCAACCUUGACCUUUCGUUGUAUGAAUACAACUCUGUCUUUUACAAGCAAUACAAAUAGUUGGUUAACUUCUCGACAUAGACGAUGAGUAGUGUUUAUUCAUCUCAUUGUAGGAACUUCUAGACCUGUGUGACUCCGACGAGAGGUUUUAACAUGGACUUAUGAGGGGAAGAAACCUGCUUCUCCCACAGACGUUCCGGCGUAAGGUUGAAUAUAAACGAAAACUACUUCGGUAAAGAGAACCUUUGUUCCUUUUACAUUGACAAGGUGUUUAAUUUGUUAUAACGCUUUACCUCUCGGUACUUCUCUUCGAUGUGUUCGACUAGUACGUUUCGUUCUAUUUACUGUGAUUGCUAGAGUACUCCUCUUUUCAAUGACUCUAACUCUUUUUGUUCUAACUAUCUCCGUUCUGACCCCUUCCUAAACGAGGCUGUUCUUGAGGCUUAUUGAAAUUACUGUACUUGAAAUCUCCACCAGGUCCCAGUCUCUAACCAGGAUAUAAAUGACUGUUCUGUUUUCCCGCUAGUAGACGAGGAAGAGGACGAGGAUCAUUUUACGGACCACCUUACUUUAAUUCAUUUCGUGUGUUCGGUUUAGUCAAGGACCUCAGAAACUUUCGACUUCCUCUUCAAUAAGACCUCCUAUGAGUUGAUUCCAGUUUCAGUAGUAGUAGAUAAGGUGGUUCACUAGGAUAGUGUCACUGAUAACUUCUCUUCAACUUACAGUGUCAAUUUUCCCUACCGCCUCAAUGAUUAAAACUACAAGUUCCUUGGGAACGAGAGGUUCAAGAAUUACUGUGACUACCAAUAUAGGUCAACGUCUAACUCUUGGUUCUACGUGGACCUGAAUCGAAGUCCUGCGUGGGAUUAUAACUGUUUGUCGACAAGUUGCCGGUCUUUUAACAACCCCGUUCUCUAGGUAGGUCCGGAAAGGGGUCACCAGUUUUACUUUGUGGGGACCACUUUACCUCUUAGCUCCCCAACUUACUCAGAAGAGACGGUAACUGUCAGUCAACGACCGGAAGUUGUAGACCUUUAUGUUGACAACACUUGUAACUUAUACUUCGAAGUCUGUACAAACUAAACGUGUUACAAUAGCAGAGAUAGGGAGACGGGCGUGAAUCCCUACGAGGUUCACAUUUUGUCUAUCUACCUCUUACCUCCAUACUGAGUUCUUUGAGACACAACCUUACCAGACACUACGAAUAACUAGUUAGGUUGGCUUCACCAAGGUACCUCAAGAGACAAGGGCGACGACUAGGUAGCUGUAAAAAAGGGUAGAGGCAACCUAAAAGACGUAGUUUAUGUAAAUCAUUGCACUUCCAAUGACGGUAGGAAGGUAACGUCCCUCCAUCAAGUUUUAUAAGUGUCGUCCAAGCUGACCAGUGACAAUUGAUAGUUCACCAGACUACAGCAAACAAGACCAGUUCACUAACGCGUAUAGACCUCAUAUAUCCUUGAAAACUAAAAACAAGUACUGAACGACUCGGCCACACUGUAGUAGAAAGCCGAGUUCUUAAAGUACCCUAUCUCCUAUUUUUCGACCAUAUGCCUUUACGUAAAAACAUGAAAUAUAACAUCUAACCACUUGGCUUGUAACACAAGAAGCACAGGUGUCUAUGUCAUAUACCUUUAUAUAUACUGUGAGAGCAGCGGGCAAAAGACGACAAUGAUGCAACAACCUAUAGUAUGUGAUUAUACAAGAGAUUUA
This 2243-nucleotide ribosomal RNA is filed under the name Triticum aestivum (bread wheat). RNAcentral's name for it is "partial small subunit ribosomal RNA". The record is from RNAcentral. Lineage: Eukaryota; Viridiplantae; Streptophyta; Magnoliopsida; Poales; Poaceae.